UUGCUCUAACCAUCUGUGAUUCUCUGAUUCAGAUAUUCAUGAUUCUAGCAUGAGACUACCCUAUAACUCCAGGAAUGGCCCUCCUGUUCUGGGAGCAAAUCUCCUCCUCACAGGAUGCCUUUCAUCAUGAAAGCAGCAAAAAGGGACUCGUGAUGUGAGCAUGAAGGGGUAUGGGGGCCUCUCCUAGGAACUGGUCUCCCAGGAUCCCCAGAAUCACUACAUUUAUCUUUCCCAUCAUGCUCUUAAUCUCUGAAAAUUUAAUGGCACGGCCAUAAACUGCCUAAAGAACACAGCUGACCCGUCACCAAUAAAUCAGAAACUCCCGGUGAUGCUUUGGGAUAAAUGAUAGCCCCUCGGAUCAGUGGGCAGAUGAGCUGGGGAUGUUUGAUGAACCCAAGAAAGAUCUCAACCCGCACCCUGCUGGGGUAGGAGGCAUUGCUAAGAAGUCAGGGAGUGUGCUGAGUGGAUCAAGAGGCCCCCAGAGUCAUCCCUGGGUGUUUGGACAGAAGCAGACUGAUGCUUUCAAACUGUGGUACUAGAGAAGAGUCUUGUGAGUCCCUUGGACUGCAAGGAAAUCAACCCUGAAUAUUCAUUGGAAGGACUGAUGCUGAUGCUGAAGCUCCAGUACUUUGGCCACCUGAUGCGAAGACCGGACUCACUCGAAAAGACCCUGAUGCUGGGAAGGAUCGAAGGCAGGAGGAGAAGGGGAGGACAGAGGAUGAGAUGGUGGGAUGGCAUCACCGACUCAAUGGACGUGAAUUUGAGCAAGCUCCGGGAGAUAGUAAUGGACAGGGAAGCCUGGGUUGCUGCAUUCCAUGGAGUCACAAAGAGUUGGACGCAUCUAAGCGAAUGAACAAUAGACCCAAGCUUUCACAGUCACAACUGACCCUAUUUUACCUGGAAAAUAAACACCCAGAGGGAGAACAAAAAAACAACCUAGGGUGUAUGGUCAGGCUAUUCAAGGUGGUGGUUCUCCUGUUCUCUGUACCUCCCCUGCUCAACCCGCCCCUGCUUCACCGGCACCUUCUCCGGUCCCCCAGCCUGUGCCUGCCCCCUGCCCCAGCUAGUGCGGGUUCUAAUCCUUAGCCCCGAAAGGCUCCACCUACUAGUUUACUAAUAGGAAACACCUGCCCUCGAGAUGGUCGUUAACCUGAGGGACUGUGAGCAGCACGUGUCCAAGCGACUGGUUGCCCUGGUAACCUAGCUGACGUCAGUUCCCCCCUAUAAGCGAUAGCAUUCCCUCGCCCCGCCCUCAGUGGUGAAGAUGAUGGCCCCGUAGCAGUCACCGCCUGCCGCAGACAGUGGUGUGUUGCUCCAAGACCUGGCUUCGGACAUGUAAGGUCUUCUGUCCGACGGACCGUGGAUGUCCCUGUCCCUGUCUCCGGGCUCUUUCUUCGGUCUCGAGGCUAGACGACUACAAGGCUCGCGGGCCUGCAGCUUGCAGCCCAACGUGGGGUUAUGGAAAGAGACGUGGACUUAGAAACCUGAAUUACAUGCCCCACUCCCGUCAAAGUCUCCCUGCUCAGCCAGUUGGUUCAUCUGGAGAGUGAGGAUCCCAGUAAAGGAAGAGGCAUCCUACUCUUUAAAAAGUCUCUGUUUAUUUGCGCUUUGUCUUAGUUGCGGCCUCUCAGUGGUAACCUCUGGCCAGCCCCAUUUUACACAGAAGAGGAAAAAUAGAGGCUCAGAAAGACAAAGUGACCUGUCCGGGGUCUCGCAGCAAGUUCGGAUUCAGCCCAACGCCUGAGCCCUUGAUGCCUGGCUUUCUCUGCCCCAGUAGGAGCCUUAGGAACUCUUUGGCUGCCUUUUCACUUUAAGGGGGCUUAGUUGGAGUACCUGGGGAGUCCCAGCUGCACGGCCCACUCCGGGCCUCUGGGGGCUGGUCCACGGGCCGUUGUGAUGUACGCCCUGGCUCUGUGUCCCUCCCGCAGGGGCAACUCGAGAACCAGGCAGAAGGGCAGCUGCUGCCUGGGAUCGGAGGCUUUGGAGUCAGCUCCUAUGGAUGCCGAAUCGGAGGCCCUCCCAUGCCCUGCCUCGGCUGUUUACGAACUGCAACGGCACGUUGUAUCGUGCCUGCAGCAUGCACGCCAGCUCCUCUGUCCUCCACUGUCUCCCAGAGUUUGCUCAGAUGCGUGUGCAUUGAGCCAGCGAUGCCAUCCAACCAUCGUGUCCUCUUCUGCCUCCUCCUCCUCUUACCUUCAACCUUCCCCAGCAUCAGGGUCUUUUCCAACGAGUCAGCUCUUCCAGGCCUGGGGACUCAUCUUCCGGUGUCAUAUCUUUUUGCCUUUUCAUACUGUUCAAGGGGUUCUUGUGGCAAGAAUGCUGGAGCGGCUUGCCGUCCCUCCUCCAGUGGACCAGGUUUUGUCAGAACUCUUCAGUGUGACCCGUCCAUCUCAGGUGGCCCAGCACAGCAUGACUCAUAGCUUCACUGAGUUAUGCAAGCCCCUUUGCCACGACAAGGCUGUGAUCUAUGAAGGGGAAAAAGCGAGAACCAAUCAUUUUUAUAUGAGUAAUUCUAAGAUUCUACCACCUCCAUCACACAGAUGAGGAAAGGGGCUUACUCUCAUCACAGAGCCGAGAAUUGGCAAAGCUGAAGCGUGAACCUCAACCCAUUGACUCCAGAGCCUCUUUGUAAUUCCACAGGCUCUAGCCGAGCUUCAGGGCAGCAGGUAUCCCGGGAAUGUGGGGGCCAGACAGGCUCGUUUCCCUAGGAGUGAGGGCUUUUUGAUCUCAGGGCAGCUACAGAAUGGUCUACCAUUGGGGAAUCACAAAACAAGAAAGCGUAUCAGCUUCUGAUUUACGAGAUGCAUGGAACCAUGCCAGGCAAGCCAAUCAACUGGCAGACAUUUACAUAUUGCUAAAACCUCAUAAAUAAUGCAGAAGAUGACAAACAGCAGAAGCCACCCAGCAACAAGCACCAGCCCUUUAAGCAAGGGGUCUCAAAGUUCAGCAGCAGAAUCUCCUGCAGGCCUUGUUAUGUCCUCGGGGUGUCCAUCCGGGACAUCUGGGGUGACCCUCAAGAAGUCACAAUUCUGUCCAGUUCCCAGGUGGUAGGAGGAGUCACCCCCUCCAGAGGGGCCGCAUUUGAAGAACCGUUGCUCUAACACACUGAUGUUGCACCUCUCCCUUC
Long non-coding RNA from Bos taurus (domestic cattle), 3127 nucleotides. NCBI's taxonomy places the organism in Eukaryota, Metazoa, Chordata, Mammalia, Artiodactyla, Bovidae. The record is from Ensembl.